This 70-nucleotide transfer RNA is filed under the name Loxodonta africana (African savanna elephant). It matches the Rfam family "tRNA". Rfam says of the family: Transfer RNA (tRNA) molecules are approximately 80 nucleotides in length. Their secondary structure includes four short double-helical elements and three loops (D, anti-codon, and T loops). Further hydrogen bonds mediate the characteristic L-shaped molecular structure. tRNAs have two regions of fundamental functional importance: the anti-codon, which is responsible for specific mRNA codon recognition, and the 3' end, to which the tRNAs corresponding amino acid is attached (by aminoacyl-tRNA synthetases). tRNAs cope with the degeneracy of the genetic code in two manners: having more than one tRNA (with a specific anti-codon) for a particular amino acid; and 'wobble' base-pairing, i.e. permitting non-standard base-pairing at the 3rd anti-codon position. Lineage: Eukaryota; Metazoa; Chordata; Mammalia; Proboscidea; Elephantidae. The record is from Rfam by way of RNAcentral.
GCAGUGGUAGCUCAGUGGUAGAGUUCUUGCCUUCCAUGCAGGAGACACAGGGCAAUUCCUGGCUAAUGUA